This 480-nucleotide ribosomal RNA is filed under the name uncultured bacterium. RNAcentral describes it as "bacterial SSU rRNA". It matches the Rfam family "Bacterial small subunit ribosomal RNA", at positions 30 to 507 of the family's 1533-position model. The record is from RNAcentral.
AUUGAACGCUGGCGGAAUGCUUUACACAUGCAAGUCGAACGGCAGCACGAGAGCUUGCUCUUGGUGGCGAGUGGCGAACGGGUGAGUAAUAUAUCGGAACGUAUCCAAUAAUGGGGGAUAACUAAUCGAAAGGUUAGCUAAUACCGCAUACGCCCUACGGGGGAAAGCAGGGGAUCUUCGGGCCUCGCGCGAUUGGAGCGGCCGAUAUCAGAUUAGGUAGUUGGUAGGGUAAAAGCCUACCAAGCCUGCGAUCUGUAGCUGGUCUGAGAGGACGACCAGCCACACUGGAACUGAGACACGGUCCAGACUCCUACGGGAGGCAGCAGUAGGGAAUAUUGGGCAAUGGACGCAAGUCUGACCCAGCCAUGCCGCGUGCAGGAUGAAGGCGUUAUGCGUUGUAAACUGCUUUUAUACAGGAAGAAACGACUCUUGCGAGAGGCAUUGACGGUACUGUAUGAAUAAGCACCGGCUAACUCCGUG